CUUAAAUAACACAUGAAUGAGUCAACCACACCCUUGUGGAGUUCAGUGUGAAACAAAUGCCAUCCGAUUGCUUGUCCAUCCUCUGUACACACCCAUGAGAUUCAUGGUGCCAGCCUAGUAAUAUGUCCCUUUCAUGGGAAAGUAGAAUAUUCAUUGUCUUAGAGUUCAACUGAAGAUGACAAUCUACUGUAGCUGGUUGAAGCCGCAAGGGAUUUAUUAUGCAUCAUUAGUUGGCUUCCAAAAUUUUUGGUAGGGUUGGAGGAGCAGGCUCUAGGCUGAGCUUCCAGGAGCACCUACUGGAAUCAUACCAUGGAACUGGCCUGCCAUCAGAAGGAAGACGAGGAAGCAGGAUCUACUCUCAUGUCUGCUGGGUCCUGGAUGUCCAUUGUCCCCAUUGCGAGUCAUGAUAUCACAUGGCUGCCCCCUGACUUGCCUCUCAACACCACGAAGCGAGGAAUGGGACGCUGGGAUUUCAGUUUUCUGUGGACUGCCACAGAAAAAGAAGUACCUUCUUGGCUAUGUCUGCCAGCAGGAACAAAGAGGCAUCCAAAGCAUGUCCUUUGGGCCAUGGCAUUGUCUUUUUCCUUCUAAGUCUAGGAUGGGUGUGUCUGCUGAAGCUACAUCAUUGUGUGGAACCUGAGCUGUGGUCCAGCUUUCCAGCCUCUAGUGAGCAGUAAGGCACACUGCAAGGGGAAUGUGGCAGAGGUGAGUGGAUCCACAUGGAGUAUUUACUACAUCCACUUCAUUGGAUUCUACCUGGAUCACUGUGUUGGAGGUGGAAGGCCAUCUGUGAUUUGUGGUGCUUCUAAAACAUUCUAAGGACGUGCCCUAUUUCAGUUAAGACACACAUUUGAUUUCUAGCUAUGCAACCUUUACAACUGACCUGAUACUUCCUGAACUUCCAUCUGUAAUAAUGAGAAAGAUAAUGACGAUGUCACAUGUUAGUAGAAGAUAAAGUGAGCAAAAAUACACCGAAGCUCUGUCUCAGAGGAAAAUAUUAGCUUAUUUCUUGGGUUACUGUAGGCUUAUUUCUUCCCUUUUUUAAUCAGCCGGUCCAAAUAUUGUACAUUAAUUCCCCCUGGACUGGGCUGUAUUUGGAAUGAGUGGUCAUAUCAGCUUCUAGUGAGUUUUCACACACUCAGCAAUGAGCGGGAACAUAGAAUUUAGCCUCUCUGGUACAUACUAGGGUUAGGAUUAGGAUCAUACUUGUAACUAAAGAAAGCUUAAAAGCUAUAUUAAAAACCACAGAGCAGGGCAGUUCCAAAAUAGCCGAAUAGGAACAGCUCCAAUCUACAGCUCCCAGUGUGAACGAUGCAGAAGACAGAUGAUUUCUGCAUUUCCAACUGAGAUUGGAAGACAGUAGCGGUUCUCUCAGCACGCAGCUUGAGAUCUGAGAACGGACAGACUGCCUCUUCAAGUGGGUCCCUGACCCCUGAGUAGCCUAACUGGGAGGCACCCCCCAGUAGGGGCAGACUGACACCUCACACAGCUGGGUACCCCUCUGAGACAAAACUUCAAGAGGAACAAUCAGGCAGCAACGUUUGCAUUUCACCAAUAUUCGCUGUUCUGCAGCCUCCGCUGCUGAUACCCAGGCAAACGGUCUGGAGUGGACCUCCGGCAAACUCCAACAGACCUGCAGCUGAGGGUCCUGACUGUUAGAAGGAAAACUAACAAACAGAAAGGACAUCCACACCAAAACCCCAUCUGUACGUCACCAUCAUCAAAGACCAAAGGUAGAUAAAACCACAAAGAUGGGGAAAAAAACGAGCAGAAAAACUGAAAAUUCUAAAAAUCAGAGCGCCUCUCCUCCUCCAAAGGAACGCAGCUCCUCACCAGCAACAGAACAAAGCUGGGCCGAGAAUGGCUUUGACGAGUUGAGAGAAGAAGGCUUCAGACAAUCAAACUUCUCCGAGCUAAAGGAGGAAGUUCGAACCCAUGGUAAGGAAGUUAAAAACCUUGAAAAAAGAUUAGACGAAUGGCUAACUAGAAUAACCAAUGCAGAGAAGUCCUUAAAGGACCUCAUGGAGCUGAAAACCACGGCACGAGAACUACGUGACGAAUGCACAAGCCUCAGUAGCCAAUUCGAUCAACCGGAAGAAAGGGUAUCAGUGAUGGAAGAUCAAAUGAAUGAAAUAAAGCGAGAAGAGAAGUUUAGAGAAAAAA
Molecule: long non-coding RNA, 2163 nt
Filed under: Homo sapiens (human)
Lineage: Eukaryota; Metazoa; Chordata; Mammalia; Primates; Hominidae
Description: non-protein coding lnc-GPD1L-2:1
Source: RNAcentral